UUGGAGGGCAAGUCUGGUGCCAGCAGCCGCGGUAAUUCCAGCUCCAAUAGCGUAUAUUAAAGUUGUUGCAGUUAAAAAGCUCGUAGUUGAAUUUCGGGAUCAAUAUUUCGGUCAUGCCGUGGUAUGCACUGUUAUCAUUGAUUUCUCACCUUCUAAAGAACCGUGAUGCCAUUAAUUUGGUGUUACGGGGAAUUAGGACUGUUACCUUGAAAAAAUUAGAGUGUUUAAAGCAGGCUCACGCUUGAAUACAUUAGCAUGGAAUAAUGAAAUAGGACAUCCGAUUCUAUUUUGUUGGUUUCUAGGAUCGAUGUAAUGAUUAAUAGGGAUAGUUGGGGGCAUUAGUAUUCAAUUGUCAGAGGUGAAAUUCUUGGAUUUAUUGAAGACUAACUACUGCGAAAGCAUUUGCCAAGGAUGUUUUCAUUAAUCAAGAACGAAAGUUAGGGGAUCGAAGACGAUCAGAUACCGUCGUAGUCUUAACCAUAAACUAUGCCGACUAGGGAUCGGAUGAUGUUAAUUUUUUAAUGACUCAUUCGGCGCCUUACGGGAAAC
RNAcentral lists this ribosomal RNA (549 nucleotides) under Funneliformis mosseae. Its description in RNAcentral is "SSU rRNA". It matches the Rfam family "Eukaryotic small subunit ribosomal RNA", at positions 548 to 1098 of the family's 1831-position model. The record is from RNAcentral. Lineage: Eukaryota; Fungi; Glomeromycota; Glomeromycetes; Glomerales; Glomeraceae.